Molecule: small nuclear RNA, 104 nt
Organism: Peromyscus californicus insignis
Lineage: Eukaryota; Metazoa; Chordata; Mammalia; Rodentia; Cricetidae
Source: RefSeq, a predicted model, not a curated record
GUGCUGACUUUGCUAACACGUACACUAAAAUUGGCACAAUACAGAGAAGCUUAGCAUGGCCCCUGCACAGGGACACACAAAUUUGUUCAGCAAGAUGUAUUUCU